UCCGCAGGUGGUUUAUUAAGUCAGAUAUUAAAUCUUGGGGCCCAACUCCAAGGCUGUAUCUGAAACUAGUAGACUAGAGUCUUUCAGGGGCAAGCGGAAUUCUGUGUGUAGGGGUAAAAUCCGUAGAUACACAGAGGAACACCAAAAGCGAAGGCAGCUUGCUGGGAAAGUACUGACACUCAUGGACGAAAGCGUAGGUAGCGAACG
This 207-nucleotide ribosomal RNA is filed under the name uncultured bacterium. Its description in RNAcentral is "partial 16S ribosomal RNA". It matches the Rfam family "Bacterial small subunit ribosomal RNA", at positions 568 to 774 of the family's 1533-position model. The record is from RNAcentral.